RNAcentral lists this ribosomal RNA (399 nucleotides) under uncultured cyanobacterium. Its description in RNAcentral is "bacterial SSU rRNA". It matches the Rfam family "Bacterial small subunit ribosomal RNA", at positions 382 to 796 of the family's 1533-position model. The record is from RNAcentral. Lineage: Bacteria; Bacillati; Cyanobacteriota.
UCCGUUGCAUGCCAGCCGCGUGAGGGAGGAGGUCUUUGGAUUGUAAACCUCUUUUCUCAAGGAAGAAGUUCUGACGGUACUUGAGGAAUCAGCCUCGGCUAACUCCGUGCCAGCAGCCGCGGUAAUACGGGGGAGGCAAGCGUUAUCCGGAAUUAUUGGGCGUAAAGCGUCCGCAGGUGGUCAGCCAAGUCUGCCGUCAAAUCAGGUUGCUUAACGACCUAAAGGCGGUGGAAACUGGCAGACUAGAGAGCAGUAGGGGUAGCAGGAAUUCCCAGUGUAGCGGUGAAAUGCGUAGAGAUUGGGAAGAACAUCGGUGGCGAAAGCGUGCUACUGGGCUGUAUCUGACACUCAGGGACGAAAGCUAGGGGAGCGAAAGGGAUUAGAUACCCCCUGUAGUCA